AGUGAACGCUGGCGGCGUGCUUAACACAUGCAAGUCGAACGAGAACGGGUUAUAGCUUGCUAUAAUUGUCAGCUAAGUGGCGCACGGGUGAGUAAUGUAUAGGUAAUAUGCCUCUUGCUAAGGGAUAACAAAUGGAAACGUUUGCUAAUACCUUAUACUCCUUAUUAACAGAAGUUAAUAAGGGAAAGAUUUAUUGGUAAGAGAUUAGCCUGUAUUGUAUCAGUUAGUUGGUGGGGUAAUGGCCUACCAAGACUAUGACGCAUAACUGGUUUGAGAGGAUGAUCAGUCACACUGGAACUGAGACACGGUCCAGAUUCCUACGGGAGGCAGCAGUGGGGAAUAUUGCACAAUGGACGAAAGUCUGAUGCAGCAACGCCGCGUGGAGGAUGACACAUUUCGGUGCGUAAACUCCUUUUAUAUAAGAAGAUAAUGACGGUAUUAUAUGAAUAAGCACCGGCUAACUCCGUGCCAGCCGCCGCAGUAA
Molecule: ribosomal RNA, 484 nt
Filed under: uncultured bacterium
Lineage: Bacteria
Description: partial 16S ribosomal RNA
Rfam family: Bacterial small subunit ribosomal RNA
Source: RNAcentral